GGUUUAUGAAUGCGCCGUCAUGUGACGGCGGCGGCGGCCGCCCUCCUAUUCACAAAACGGCGGCGGCCGGGGCGGGGAUCCGCGACGUCGUGUGUCCCCCCCGCCAUCCCAGCUCCGCUUCCCGACCCCCACCCCGGGCCCGGGGCUGCGCGGCGGCGGCGCGCACCGCUCCGCUCCCCCCUCCGCUCCCCGCCGCUUCCGCCUCCGACCGCCCCCGCCGGGCGCCCCGAGCCCCGGGGCCGGGGCGGGGAGCGGCGGCGGCGGCGCCCCCUCCUCCCUGCGGUGCCCCGGGGCCCCGCACCCCGGCGGGGCCGCGCCGCCCUCACGGGGGUUUUUAUGAAUGAAAGGGCCGUAUGCAAAUGAGCGCGGCCCGGGGGGAGCGCGAAAUGGCGGAUGCGCGGGCGGGCGGCGCGCACACGAACGCGCGUGUCCGCGUCCCUCCGUCCGUCCGUCCGCCCGCGGCCGGUCCGUCCGUCCCUGCGUGCACGGCGCACGGGGAUGAGCGACCCGGGGCAACAAAGGCUGCCCCCCGUUCCGUGCCCCCCAGCCGCCCGCCGCCCCCGGCCCCGCUCACUCGUCAGGGUCCUCUGUGAUCGGGCAGUCCUGGGAGAAGAAAUGUGUCUGUACCACCUAAGCACAUCACCUUGCUCUCCAGCUUUUGCAGGCUCCUCCACUGCAGCAUCCCUUUCCCACUGCAGGAACAGAAGCGGAAACUCGGAGAGAAAUCUGUGGACUGCUAGUAAUGAGAUAGAAGCAAGAGCUGAUGAAAGCUUUGAGGUCUUCUCCUCAGGGAGAAGCAGCAUGUCCUUCAGAGGUGGUACCAGAAUCUGCAGCUUUGUGGCACAACAUUACAGGAACGUUCCUGUCGCUGCUAGAGGUUUGGCCAUAACACCAGAUAAUGUGUGAGAGUGCAAGCCUGCUGCCCUCCCUCUGGCAGAUUAUUGGUGCUCUUUUGGGUGGCAAUGCUGCCUAUCCCCACACCCACUUCCCACCCAUUCCUUUGCAAAGCACAGUUUGUCACCCCCUUGGCUACGCUAAUGCAUCCCCUGCUGAGGAGUGACACUGCUGGAGCUGCUAAAUGGCCCAGCUAAUAAUACUCCCCAAUACCUCUUUCUUUUGGAAAGUUAUUCAAGGAUCCAUCUUGCAGAAUGGCAUGAUAAACAUCUUGGCAAAUCUGAGCUGGCAGCUAAAGGAAGUGUCAGAGCAGGAGUGAGCAGUUGGGGGCAAGGAAAUGGCAGGAACGUCUUCAGCUGCUGUACAAUAAAAGACCAGAUGUAAUGAUUUGACACAGUUCCACCCAUCCUAUGUCUCUUUUUCCCCCAAAGGAUGCUGAGAUUGCACAGACCUCUGACAUCCUCAAGAUUUUUCAUGCCAAAAAUGUCUGUGAUCAGCGGGAACACUGAUGUUGCUGAAGUGGAGAGUGUGGCAUUUAGCAGUUGGAUCCUACAGAAGCAGAAUAUGGGGAGAGUUAUAGCCCUGUGAAAAACCCAGGGCACAAUCGUGUAAUUAAAAAGCCAUUAUAAUGGUUAUACCUCUGAGGUGGACUGGGUAUUAAUCACUGUCUGAUUAACACUUGAGAGCUUGUCUGUGUGAUCUGGAUGUAUUUUUAUGUGUUUGUGUUGUCCAUGUGCGUAUUUACCCCGAUGGGGAGAAGUAAAUGUGUCUGAGGCUUGGAGGCUGAAGUUUUACUCGAUCUAGCUUCUUGAGUCAUUUCCUGUGGAUUUGCAGGAUUUCUUAUUUGAUCUCUGCUUUCACUGUCCUGCCAAUUUGCAGGCUGCUAAGCAAUUUAUUCUCUUAAUGAUUUCUCUCACUCACUGCACAACCCUCUUACUGUUACUUUCACCGAGGUAUUGAAUUUUAUUUUUCUAAUAUUCAGGUUACUGUGACGGUUCUUGUAAGUAGCGUGUUGGAGCUGACUGACUUUUCUGAAUGAAAAGGCUCUCUCUCAGAGGUGUGAUUUCUGUUUGUGCCUUGCGUUGUUUGUGCACAGAGCUUCUGCUCAGACACAGAAUAGCACUUCCCUGGGAUGUGAUCGUUAAGGUACCUAGAAUUAAUUAGCCUUUGGUGGCAGACCUUCAAGGCAGCAGCUCCUGCAUACUAACGAUUUGCCUGCUAUGACUGUCCUGUGUUUUAUAUUCAAAAGAAACAUUUAUUUUGCAGAGUAAUACUUCAGCUGCUGCGGAGAACCCUGUUGCUGCUUGGUUUGGAAUAAACUUCCCUGAGUGCUGUUACACUUAUUUAGGCUAUUGUGAGACCAUCCCCUCUGAACACCCACAUUCCCUUUGCUGCAAAGCUCUUUGAUCAGCCUCAGCAGGUGACAUGAUGAACAGCUGACUGACUACUUUGGCAAAACCAGUUUUUGUGGCUUGACCUCCUUUUCACACCCGGUGUCUUGCUGUGAGUACAGGGUCCUAUUCAGUGUCUGAGUGGUUAUAAUUGCAGGUUUACCCAGUCUAGACCUGGUUGUGGGAGAAACCCCCACACAGGUAUCAAUCAGGAAAGGCUUCUGGAGUUAAAUUAAGCAUUUGAAAUAUGGAAAUGCUGACAUGGCUGGGUCAGAUGUUUGAUGGUAUGUGGUACACAGGGGAAAUGAGUUGUAUGUACCCUGCCUGCCUCCUCAUUUGCUCAGCCCUUGGCUUCAGGGAUGCUCAGUGACACUGACCCACUCAGUCCUUUGCAGAUGCUUGGCCAUAUUUAAUUUCAAAGGGUGCCAGUCCACCCUCUUCUCCAGGCAGAUAUUUUCCCUUGUGUCAACAUCCUCAUAACAACUCCAGCUAGGCAAAUAUAGCACAUGGCUUAUGAGUGUCCUGGAAGGACUCAGAGGUGGAGAGUUAGAGCUAAAGAAGGCUCAUGGUUAACCCCAUGCAGCACUGAAUAGCUUUGGGAUAAGUCGCAGCACAAUGAUGAGGAAGCUGGGAGGAGAGUUUCAUGGUCCUGCAGAGAACACCUCCUUAGACAGCCACCCUCCUAGACAUUCCCAAGGAUUCCCAUGGAAAAUAAUCCUGUGCUCCUUUUAUGUUCUGGUAAUCACACACAUAUUAUGCUUCCCUGCCCAGUUCUAAGGAGAAAAGUGAUUAGUCACUCCACACAAAAACCUUUGGGGACUGUGCCUAUACUCCAGGAUGGAUGCCAGCUCCAUCUAGAAGGGAGUGAAGACUCUCAGCUCUGCUCUGUGUGUGGUUGUAAGGCCUUCCAGGUACCCACUGCCAGCUGCAUCCCCAGCACUGUUUGCUGCCAGGCUUAACAAAGCCCAGAAAUGCAAGCCCAGCUUAUGAGAGCUUCACACCUACAACACCAAAAGCACAACCUCGAUCCUGCUCACAGAACUCCCUUGUUUAAGACAGCAGAGUCUCCAGUCUCUUAGAGGAAAAAAGAAGGGCUGGUUAUUGCUGGAUGCCUGUUCUGACUUUAAAAGCUGAAAGUAAAAACAAUCCAAGAUAUGGGGCAUGCUGAAGUGGCAGCUGAAGGGCUUUUUUUGUUCCUUCUGCAGUUAAUGCCAUCGUGCUAAAAUUGCACGCAGGUGGGAGUGGGGGUUAAUUUAAGGUUUAGUGUGACCAAGAAGAAUUAUUUAGAAAAUAGCAAAUGGACAACAUUCUGAAAAAUGAGCUUCACUUCCCUAACCAGGAGUACUUGACUAAAGAGACUAUGAAGGAAACUUCCAUAUCCAUGGCAGGUAAACAUUUGCCUUUGAUUCUGUUUUUCUCUUCAAGUCCAGAAACCCCAGCAUUUACACUUAAAUGGAUGUGCUGUAAGCUAUGUUUAGGAAGAGAAUUUCAUCCGCUCCUGCACGUACUUUUACACAUGAUAAUUAUUUGACUGCAGCUUUACAAAGUAUGGCUGGAGGGAUGGUUUGAAAGGGAGGAGUUACAUGGCACUGAUGAUAACUGCCUGAUUCAGCCCCACUGAAGGCAGUAGCAGCAGGAUCAGACAAUCCAGAAGAGAUAUUUUAUUUUAAAUAGCCAAAUAGCCAAUAGCCAUUAUGGACCUUCAGUGACUUAUGGAAAAUUCCUGCCUUCUGUAUCCUCAUUUGCAAUCCUUCUGAUUUCAUGCCCUGGAGAACAUUUAUGUAUCCUGGAACCAUGUAUGUGUUCAGUGAGGACAUGAAUUUCUGCAUUUUGGCACCACUAAAACAAACAAAAAUUAAAAGAGAGCUAAAGAGCUUAUGAAGAUGACAUUUUGGUGAAUGAUGGUGUUUUUUAAUACUAUCAUUUUUGUCUUCAUCAACUAAAUCACAGAGUUUGGGCUCUUCCUUUAUUUUUUACAUUCUGCUUCUUCUCUCCCACCUGAUCUGUUCCUUCCAUACAACUGGAGUUGUAGUCCAAAACUCAUGGAGAGGUGAAAGAACUGCUCUAUAACCACAUAGUCUGGAUGCAAUACCUUGCACAUAACUGCUUCUCUUUGUGCCAAAGACAUUACCACAGUACCAGUAUUUAAUUUGUUACCACACAAAAUGCUCUGAAUAGCUGUGACAUUGAAACACUUCCUAUAAAUUGGUUCCUACUCAGCUCUAAAGUUGGGUCUUCUCUUUGAUGUUUUUCAGUCUAAGAAAGUAACAUAUGUGAAAGCUCUCCCACAAGGCUUGAUCACAAUCUUGUGAGAUGGCAGUCUAAAUUUUGGGCUCUCUGUGGCUUGCAGGCAAAGCAGGUCAAGCCUUUUUUUUCUUGAUAGAAACAGGGAUGGCUGUCUAUAAAAUCCUCAGAGGGUGGAAAGCAGAGAUAAUUUCCACCUUCCUGUGGCAAGGUCAGUUCUUUCCCCUCUGCAGAUGGACUUACCCUAGUACCAGGAUGGGCAAGGCAACUUCUGAGAAAGGUCUCCAGAGGCUGUUGCCUUGUGCUUUCCAAGGAAUGCAAGCAGCAGUAAGGACUUUGUGUCACUACCAUUUAGCUGCCCCCAAAAUCACAGCCAGAGCUUUCUUUGAUCAUAAUGUCUCCUACUGCAGGAAGCUGUGGAAACUCCACAGUAACUUGGAUGCACACAGCUACCCCAAAAGGGGCUUUGACCUUUUAACAAUGGCACUCAAUUAUACAGUAUUUUCUUAUAUUUAUUUUUCAAGUAUUGAGGUGGAGAUAAUCACUGAGAAACAUGAGAUCUUGAAAAAAAGAAUUUAAAUACAAUAAAUUAUAUAUUGUGACUUUUCAUUUAGUUAGAGUAUCUGUGUAAUCAAUUUUCAUUUAUAUCCUUCACAGUCACUUGUAGGGGUGGAGGAGAGUGUUGGCCUUCCAUUACAGCAGAAGGAACUACAGCCCAAGAAGAUACCUGGAUGUUUGGAAGAGGACUCAAACUCAGGAACAUUUGGGAAUCAUUUAAGACAGGAAGACAACAUCCACUUGAGUUUAAUUCCCUGUGCUUGUUUGUUUGUGUCUAGUUGCUUGGCUGUGAGUGGUGCAUAAAUCACUUGAGACCCUCCAUUCCUCCAUAAUUUACUGUUGGAAAGGACAGAAAUAAAUUUUAACAUAUUUGUGA
Molecule: non-coding RNA, 5463 nt
Organism: Taeniopygia guttata (zebra finch)
Lineage: Eukaryota; Metazoa; Chordata; Aves; Passeriformes; Estrildidae
Source: RefSeq, a predicted model, not a curated record